This 1471-nucleotide ribosomal RNA is filed under the name uncultured Bordetella sp. Its description in RNAcentral is "partial 16S-23S ribosomal RNA intergenic spacer". It matches the Rfam family "Bacterial small subunit ribosomal RNA". Lineage: Bacteria; Pseudomonadati; Pseudomonadota; Betaproteobacteria; Burkholderiales; Alcaligenaceae. The record is from RNAcentral.
GUUUUGAUCCUGAAAGCAGAUUGAACGCUGGCGGGAUGCUUUACACAUGCAAGUCGAACGGCAGCACGGACUUCGGUCUGGUGGCGAGUGGCGAACAGGUGAGUAAUGUAUCGGAACGUGCCUAGUAGCGGGGGAUAACUACGCGAAAGCGUAGCUAAUACCGCAUACGCCCUUCGGGGGAAAGCAGGGGACCUUCGGGCCUCGCACUAUUAGAGCGGCCGAUAUCGGAUUAGCUAGUUGGUGGAAUAACGGCUCACCAAGGCGACGAUCCGUAGCUGGUUUGAGAGGACGACCAGCCACACUGGGACUGAGACACGGCCCAGACUCCUACGGGAGGCAGCAGUGGGGAAUUUUGGACAAUGGGGAAACCCUGAUCCAGCCAUCCCGCGUGUGCGAUGAAGGCCUUCGGGUUGUAAAGCACUUUUGGCAGGAAAGAAACGGCACGGGAUAAUGCCCCGUGCAACUGACAGUACCUGCAGAAUAAGCACCGGCUAACUACGUGCCAGCAGCCGCGGUAAUACGUAGGGUGCAAGCGUUAAUCGGAAUUACUGGGCGUAAAAAGCGUGCGAGGCGGUUCCGGAAAAGAAAGAUGUGAAAUCCCAGAGCUUAACUUUGGAACUGCAUUUUUAACUACCACCGAGCUAGAGUGUGUCAGAGGGAGGUGGAAUUCCGGCGUGUAGCAGUGAAAUGCGUAGAUAUGCGGGCCACCGAUGAAGGCAGCCUCUGGGAUAACACUGACGCUCAUGCACAGCGUGGGGAGCAAAUAGGAUUAGAUACCUGGUAGUCCACGCUCUAAACGAUGUCAACUAGCUGUUGGGGCCUUCGGGCCUUGGUAGCGCAGCUAACGCGUGAAGUUGACCGCCUGGGGAGUACAGUCGCAAGAUUAAAACUCAAAGGAAUUGACGGGGACCCGCACAAGCGGUGGAUGAUGUGGAUUAAUUCGAUGCAACGCGAAAACCUUACCUACCCUUGACAUGUCUGGAAUCCCGAAGAGAUUUGGGAGUGCUCGCAAGAGAACCGGAACACAGGUGCUGCAUGGCUGUCGUCAGCUCGUGUCGUCGAGAUGUUGGAUUAAGUCCACAACGAAGCGCAACCCUUGUCAUUAGUUGCUACGAAAGGGCACUCUAAUGAGACUGCCGGUGACAAACCGGAGGAAGGUGGGGAUGACGUCAAGUCCUCAUGGCCCAUAUGGGUAGGGCUUCACACGUCAUACAAUGGUGGGACAGAGGGGUCGCCAACCCGCGAGGGAGCCAAUCCCAGAAACCCGAUCGUAGUCCGGAUCGCAGUCUGCAACUCGACUGCGUGAAGUCAGAAUCGCUGGUAAUCGCGGAUCAGCAUGUCGCGGUGAAUACGUUCCCGGGUCUUGUACACACCGCCCGUCACACCAUGGGAGUGGGUUUUACCAGAAGUAGUUAGCCUAACCGUAAGGAGGGCGAUUACCACGGUAGGAUUCAUGACUGGGGUGAAGUCA